This 3028-nucleotide long non-coding RNA is filed under the name Anolis carolinensis (green anole). RNAcentral describes it as "lncRNA (ENSACAG00000036097.1)". Lineage: Eukaryota; Metazoa; Chordata; Lepidosauria; Squamata; Anolidae. The record is from RNAcentral.
AUGCAGAGCCUCAGCGUUUGGUCCUUUUUCCGCCUGAACAACACAGGCGCCCCUAGAGGGGAAUUUGAAGGCUCUAUGAAACCCCUCGCUAGGUUUUUAUCAAUGUAUUUUCUCAGUUCCUCCUUUUCCCUAGCUGACAUCGGGUAUAUUUUUGCCUUGGGAAGCUCUGCUCCUGGGACUAGCUCUAUUUUCACUUCAACUCUCCGCUUCGGUGGGAAAUUGUCUGCUUCCUUCUCAUCAAACACGUCCACAAAAUCCCGAUACUCUGGGGGUAAUUUAUCUGCCAGUUCUGCUAUUCUGAUAGAGUCUUCCUCCCCCCUUUUCCCUGGCUCCCUCUCAACUUCCUGGCUCCCUUCUUCCAAAUUCAUCCUGAAGAUCAUGCUCUUAUCCUCCCAGUUGUAAGAACACAACCACAACACAAAACCACAAUCCGGACCCACAAAACUCACAACAACGCAUCAUGACUAUAACAACACAACUAAACGCCCCAGAAAUACAAAACUUGGCAAAACAAUGCAAAAGCCUUGCCUCCCGGUUGUAACAACACAACCACACCACAAAACCACACCGGACCCACAAAACUCACAACAAUGCAUCGUGACUAUAACAACACAACUAAACGCCCCAGAAAUACAAAACUUGGCACACAACUAAACGACCCAGAAAUACAAAACUUCGCAACACAACACAAAAGCCUUGCCUCUCAGUUGUAACAACACAACCACACCACAAAACCACAAUCCAGACCCACAAAACUCACAACAACGCAUUGUGACUAUAACAAAUACAACAUUUGACAACACGACUCAUCCACCUCCCCAAUCCCUACAUUCACACUUGGCCUCCAAAAAAACAAUUACAAUAAUAACAAUGACAACAACAACAACAAUAAGAAUCAACACCAUCACAGACAAGAAACAGCCAGGCACUGAGGCUGAGAGGCCAGUCAGUGCUAAACUGGCCCUCCAAAAAACAAUACAGUAGCAUCUAACUUAUCCAACCUUCAUAAUCACUACAACAACAAUAAUAAUAAACACCUACACAGGCAAAACAAAAUAAAAGACUAUUGUACCACAAUAAAAAUAUAAACCGCACUCAGCAGAAUCAGACAUUACAAUUAACAACAAACCAAAGACAACAGGGAUCUCAAGCAAUUAUCAAUCAACACAAAAAUUGAAGAAGGUAACAGACUUCAAAUACUACUACUAAUGUGAGUAUAAAGAAGGGUGGAGGUCACAGCAUCAAUACAACCUAAUGUAGACUGACCAACACCACCAGACUAAGCCACAGCAACGCGUGGCCGGGCACAGCUAGUUUUAUAUAAAAUGCAACACUGUAAAAAAGCUUUUUUCAUACUGGAGGAAACCUUUCUCAACUGUAAAGAUCACCAAAGGCCAGGGAAAAUGCAGAUGGAGCAAAUUAAAGAAUCCCUUGCAGAUUAUAAGGGUGUGCUCUGCAUUAUCCGUCGGUGCUCUUUGCAAGGAACCAAAUCCUUCCUGAGGGCAAAGCAGGCCUUGGCUGUAAAAAGGCUCUUUCAGUUUGUUUUUGAACUUUGGCUACAGAAAACCUGGUUCGCUUUAAUGUGAAAUCUCAGCUUCAAGGAAGACUUUUCCUGUCAACGUCAUACAGCUAAGAACUGAGGGAUGUCUUGUUGCCACAGUUACUUUAAUCUUCUGCCGCUGGGUGCAUUAGUUGCCAGCACAGCUGCUUUAUCUGACUUUUACCACAAAAUAUUUUAUACUAUGUAUCCAUGUGAGGAAAAAGAAGAAUAAAAUAAAAGAAUUAAAAGGCCACCACCAAUAUCCUACAUCUCCUUUUUAGUUACACAUUCAUAACUAAAGUAACAUCAUCUGGCCCACUCCAACCCCCAAACUUACCUUAACAGCCAGCAGCCACAGCAAGGGAUGGAGAUAAGAAUUGGGGUUCAUGAGAAGGAUGUUAUGGCCCCCUCUUACCAAUGAAUAAGACUGCAAUAAAGUAUUGUGACAGGAGGCCUGUUUCUGAUUGUCACACCAGAGAUAGCCAGUGAGAGAGAGCUGGAAAUGUCAUCCUCCUGCACUUCAAUCAGCAGCAGCAUAGAUUUCUAUCACUGCUAGUUAUGAUAGUGGCAAUAGUAUAAUUGUGAAUACAUUGACUGAAUAUGGAGCAAGCUUAUACAUUUGUAAUAGCAAUAGAUGAGUCCAGUGUCCCUGGUGUCUUGUGGCUCCCCUUGUCAAUGGGGCACUGAAUCCAUUGCAGUAUUUUUAUCUACUAAAGAACCCUUUCUCUCAGAAAUAGAUUCAAUAUCUCGAUUAGCUCCCUUAUAAUUGAAACUAGAAGAGCAGAUUUACUUGCCCUCAUUGACACAGAGGCCACUACCUACUACUGAUAACUACAGGUUGAGCUUCCCUUAUCCAAAAUGAUUAGGACAUGAAAUUUUUAGAUUUCAGAUUUAUUUAUUUUUUGUAUACUGGAAUACUUUUAUUUGCAUAUAUGGGAUAUCUUGGAGAUGGGGCCCAAGUCUAAAGACAAAAUUCAUUUAUCUUUCAUAUAUACCUUAUAUACAUAGCUAAAGGUAAUUUUAUACAAUACUAGCUGUGCCCGGCCACGCGUUGCUGUGGCUAGUCAGACCACAGGGAUCUUUUGCUGUGUGUAUGUGUUUUCAAGUCAUCUGUUGACUUAUGGCAACCCCAUUAAUUUCAUAGGGUUUUCUUAGGCAAGAAAUAUCCAGAAGAAGUUCUGCCAGUUCCUGCCUCUGAAAUAUAGCUGUGUACCGCAAUGUCAUGUGUAAUCUUUCAAAUGCUUAUGAGACCAAGGUGUCUGCUGCUCUCCAAGGUCCUGUACCUCAAUUCUUAUAUUUGGCUCAGCCACUGAUGCACGGCACACCUAUUUGACCUAUGCAUUUCAGCUUGGAACAUCUUACAAGGUUGUCAUAAGGACUGCAAGAAGAUUGUGCACAUGUAAUGCUUUGCAAGUAUGAUAUAAAUGCUAACCAUUAUUCCAGCUCACAAAGCACACAAUAAAGCUAUCAGCUUCCUACUCUGACCUG